CCCUUAGAUGCUCUGGGCCGCACGCGCGCUACACUGACCAGUGCAACAAGCAUCCGUCCUUGGCCGACAGGCUCGGGCAAUCUUUGAACGCUGGUCGUGAUGGGGAUAGACUUUUGCAAUUUUUGGUCUUCAACGAGGAAUUCCUAGUAAACGCAAGUCAUCAACUUGCAUUGAUUACGUCCCUGCCCUUUGUACACACCGCCCGUCGCACCUACCGAUUGAAUGGUCCGGUGAAGCCUCCGGAUUGGCGCGCACCUCGGUGCCGCCGAGAAGUUGGCUAAACCUUACCAUUUAGAGGAAGGUGAANUCGUAACA
RNAcentral lists this ribosomal RNA (315 nucleotides) under uncultured eukaryote. RNAcentral describes it as "partial 18S ribosomal RNA". It matches the Rfam family "Eukaryotic small subunit ribosomal RNA", at positions 1470 to 1796 of the family's 1831-position model. The record is from RNAcentral.